CUCAUACAUGGGUAACAGGGUAGUCAGACUUGUCAAACUGUCAUAUAUUUAAAAUAUUUGCCGUGUAUCAUAUAAGGUAGUAUAGGGUAUUUCUUCUUCCAUCUCUGUGCCAGAGUCUUUUUUCCUCUGUUUUACUGUUGAAACAGAGGGGAGAAACAUUCCACAGAGGAACUUUCCCUCUUUUAUUUUGUUUAAACCCAUUUAAGUAAAUCAGGUCAUAUCUUGCUCCGGGUUGGCUACAGCCGAGCAGUACACCCUUCAAGAAAUCCCUCCUUCCUCUCCCAGGGCUUCAGAGGUUCAGAUCCAUCAACCUUCGGCUCUAGGGUUCGGCUUCUCUGGUACAGUACUCGAGAGGGCUAAGGAAUAAGAGGGUAUAGUAACUCCUAAGUUAAGAAACUGAGAGUUUAAAUAAACUCUGCUUAGGAGGUGACCCUUGGAGAGGCGGCACCCUCUCCUUCCUCCUUGCUCCAGAAGCCUACAGAUGCCCUUUCCCUCAGGCCAGCUGUGCUUGUCCN
This 515-nucleotide long non-coding RNA is filed under the name Phoenix dactylifera (date palm). RNAcentral's name for it is "long non-coding RNA (PDAC_LNC009942)". The record is from RNAcentral. Lineage: Eukaryota; Viridiplantae; Streptophyta; Magnoliopsida; Arecales; Arecaceae.